Molecule: unclassified non-coding RNA, 297 nt
Organism: Cercocebus atys (sooty mangabey)
Lineage: Eukaryota; Metazoa; Chordata; Mammalia; Primates; Cercopithecidae
Gene: 7SK
Rfam family: 7SK RNA
About the family: 7SK was discovered as an abundant small nuclear RNA in the mid-70s but a possible function has only recently been suggested.
Source: Ensembl
GGAUGUGAGAGUUAUCAGGCUCUGACUUCUGUCACUCCACUGAUUGCCAGGGUUGAUUUGGCUGAUCUGGCUGGCCAGGAUGUGUCUGCUUUCUCCCUCACUGCUCCAUGUGUAUCUUUCCAGAAGCUGCAAGCUCAGUCAAAGAGGACAACCUUCUCCUAGAGAGGAGGACUGUGCCUCUGUCAAGGUAUAUGAGUAUCUGUGCUUCCCUGCUAGCACCUCCAAACAAGCUCUCUACGUCUAAGGACAGGGAGGGCAAGGGGAACUAGGAGAGAGAUCAAAUGGGUACAAUGGAUU